RNAcentral lists this long non-coding RNA (3654 nucleotides) under Olea europaea subsp. europaea. Lineage: Eukaryota; Viridiplantae; Streptophyta; Magnoliopsida; Lamiales; Oleaceae. The record is from RNAcentral.
CAUUCUCAUUUCUUAUUAAUUACCAGUGCUUGGUAUGAAUAACAUUAUUAACAUUUGAAUUUUUAAUUUAUUAUUAUAAUUGUAAAGUCAUCAUCGAACAAUCUUAGACAUAAUUCGGCACUCAUUACUUAUUUUGUCAAUAAAGAACAAUGACUGGGGGAUUGUACCGUAAAAUUAUAAUGAUUCUAUUAUACUUCCCUUCUAAAAAGACUACUUAAAAUUAUUGAUUAAAUUCCAUGAACUUUUACCUAUAUUCAUAUUACUAACCACAAAAUUUAAAUUAAAAGAAAAUAAAGAACAUAUCGCAAUCAUGCAAUUAAAAGUGUACACCAAAUUAUCACAGCAAAUAAGAAGACAGCCUACCAUCCAUUAUUUGCUCCAUCAAUAGUAAUGCCAGUUAUAUUUUUUAUUGUGAUUUUUUUUCUUGUAUUUUCAUAUUAAAUACUAAACACAAAAAUACGUUACUCCUUCCUAAUUGAGAAGCUCAAACCACCCAAAAAAAGGGGCAACGACUUAUACGUGUCAUCAAGACAUAUACAUGCAAUCUUGAUGCACACAUUCAUAAAAAUAAAAAGGUAGUUUUGUGAUGAUAGUAUACCAGUCACUUGCUCUGGGACUUCUAGUUCCAAUCGAUACAAACCACCCAAAAAAGGAAAAAACAACAAAUUAUAUGUGUCAUCGUGAAAUAUACAUUUUGAUGGGACAAAUUCAUUUUAAUUGAAGAUGACAUUUCUACUGAUGGUAACCCUAUAACCUUUUUGACAUUUAACUCAAAGUCUAUACCCUUUAGUUUCCUUCCCAUACCCCAAGAAGACACACUUCAAGGCUCUUGGUUCAAGUUUACCUUCAUUUUGAUGGGAGUAUGCAGUACAGCCAAAAACUGACCAUGUGAGAUCAUUCAAUCAAGUUUUAACAGGGCAAAAAAAUGGCAUUUUUUUCGGGUCUCUUUAAGUGAUGGCCGAGACCCAAAGAUCUCCUAUUUUACUUUGGCUGCAGGAGGGGAAUGGUUAAGUGACACUCUCGAUGUCUUGUUUGGUAAACGGGAUGUUUAUCCAGGCAGGUAUUCCCACAAAACAAAAGCGCGAGACCUCUGGUCCUUUACUUUAGUCAACAAGGCUGCUUUUAGGGAAUAUUGUCAUUGUGAUAUCAAGUUGUAAUUGAGCCAUGACUUCUUAGAUAAGUCCAUUAUAAUCAGGAAUAGAGUUUGACCACAAAUUUUUUGAGACUUCAAAAUCAAUGACAAUUGAGGGACUUCUAUUUAUAAGAUAUGUUGUUAUUUUAGGACCUCACCCCAAAAAAACUUUGGAAGUCCAGAACUAUGUAACAUACACCUGACUUUCUCUAAUAAGGUUCUAUUCAUCCUUUCAGCAACUCCAUUCUGCUGAGGGGUGUAUGUUACAGUUCUAUGCCUUAAAAUUCAAGAUUCCUUAUAAAACGAAUCAAAUUCCAAAUUAUAGAAUUCAAGGCCAUUAUCAAUCCUUAGUGCUUUGAUUUUCUUAUUGGUUUGAUUUUCAAUCAUUCAUUUCUGUUGUCUGAAAUUUUGAAAAGUAUCGAACUUGUGCUUUAAGAGAAAAGAUAAUAUUUUUCUUGAAAAAUCAUCUACAAUGAGCAGGUAAAAUCUGAAUCCACUCAGAGUAUUUACAGAUACAGGACCCCAAAGGUCAGCAUGUAAAUAUUCUGAAAUAACAGUAGAUUUGUGGGUUCCAGAUUUAAAAGGUAAUUUGCUUUGCUUUCCAAUUAUGCAAUCUUCACAAAAACUUAGCUUUUCAAUAUUAUCUUUUCCAAAACAUUCCAUUUUAUUUAAAAUUGUCAGUCCCUUUUCAGACAUAUGGCUAAGUCUUCUACGCCAUAUUAAUGACUUAUUAAAAUGAUGAAUUAAUAGCUGGAGAGCCAUAACCUACUAAAGGUUCAGCUUGAAGAGUAUAGAUGACAUUUAUUUUAGGAGAUGUCAUAUGACUUCUUUAUUGUUAAGGAUCAAUCUUAUAAGGCUUUUAUGAAUCCUUAUGUCAUACUUCUCGUCCAAUUCUCCUAAAGAAAUCAAGUUUCUUUUUAGUUCAGGUACAUAUCUGACUUUAUCAAGUUCAAGUAUAUAGUUGUUGCUUAACAGAAGAUUCAAUUUCCCAGUUCCCCUUAUCUGACAACUCAUGUCAUUUCCCAUUUGAACUUGUCCUCCACUAAGAUCAACAAGUUCAAUAAACCAAUUUUUAAUGAGGCACAUAUGGAAAGUGCAACCAGAAUCUAGCACCCAUUCUUUUGGGUCUCCUUGAAUAUCAGGUCCAUUCUUACAAACAACAGAUUUAGAACCAUCAGUAUUUUGUAAGGGUAGGCAUGGGUUGGGUUGGGUCGAUUUUUUGCCCUGACCUAAUAAUGUCGAUUUGAUUAAAAUACAACCCAACCCAACCCAACCCAACCCAUGUAUGAAUUGAAACCCAACCCAACCCACCCCAACCAAAUGUCGGUCGGGUUGGGUUGGGUUGGUGGUUCGGGAAAAGAAAUCAUGAUCUAAACACGCAGGAGACAUUUUAGAAGUAGCAGGAGUUGGAGAUUGGGUCUUCUUUGCUGUAAAUUCUGAAGGCUUCCAUUCAUUUAUAGGUUCAACACCCCAAUUUAGUCAUUGAGGGCGCCUGCAAGUACGUAUGUAGGGAUAUUUCUUAGGCUUGGUUUGCAUCAUGUGUUAUAUUCAUAGAGACGUGCUUUCAUUUUAUUAUAAAGCCAUGUCUAUAUUUUUUGUCAUAUUUUUGACUUGUGGAUAUUGAUCGUGGAAAUAGUUUUUCAGUGUUAACUUUCACUAACUAAUAUAAAGUUAUUAUGUUUUUAUUAGUUUUUCAACCACUCACAAAAUAAACGGGUAAAUAAGACACCCUGCAAUCAAGAGCAAAAGCCAAAGAUCCCAAACAAAAACAAAUCAACAGUAAGUGUACCAAGCUUAACAACAUUGAGCUUGAGAAAACUGUAACUUAUCAAAAUAAAAGACCAAGAAACAUACCUGUUCAGUGUUCACCAUGACUCUAUUCAAUCCAAAUUAUUCUCACCAAUGUGAUUGAAGAUGUAUGAUAAAUUGUCAUAAAGUUUGUGCCCAAAACAACAGUAGUAAGGGACCAGCUGCUCGUAGAAACAGCGAAUAUUUCCUUGAUUUCCUUGUGACCAGAACCCCAAAAAAAAAAGCAUGUACAAUUUAAAGAGGUGUAAAAACAGAAAAACACAUAAUCAUAGCCAUCUCAACUCAUAUCAGGUGCUUCAUUAUUAGGAUAAUAGAGUCCAUAACAAAAGGAGGCCACGAGAACUUUAAAAAGAAAAGACGACCAUCAGUGAUUAGAACAUCAAAGGUCACUUAAAUUUAGAGAAAAAGAUAAAAGAACAAAUGAAGUAUAAAUGAACAAUACCCCCAAGGAAAAUAUUAAUGUACUAAAACGUGAAGAAGAAUAUAGAUUGCACUUUACUAACCCCAGCUUCCUACUAUGGACAAUCGACGACAGGCUGAUGUCGGUGAUUUGGUGAUACGGCACCGCUGCAAGUGGAGUGGGACUGUGGAUGUGGCUGCGUGAGAGAGAGAUGGAAGUUGUAGGGUUUGUGUUGUUUGUCUCGUGACGUUUGUUUUGCCUUUUGAAAGAAAUUUGAGAUUUUUUUUAAACUAGCGAGUUGGGUCGAGUCGGG